This 432-nucleotide unclassified non-coding RNA is filed under the name Basidiomycota sp. RNAcentral's name for it is "partial contains small subunit ribosomal RNA, internal transcribed spacer 1, and 5.8S ribosomal RNA". The stretch from base 1 to 47 matches the Rfam family "Eukaryotic small subunit ribosomal RNA", at positions 1785 to 1831 of the family's 1831-position model. The record is from RNAcentral. Lineage: Eukaryota; Fungi; Basidiomycota.
AAAGUCGUAACAAGGUUUCCGUAGGUGAACCUGCGGAAGGAUCAUUAACAGACUCUGCUAGUCAGAUUUCUACCCUGUGUGAAUUGUUCUAACGACUUGGUGUUCAUGCUGGUGAGAGGGUUUGAGUUGGGGGUCUUGGUGGUAUUUGUGAGGGUUUUGUUACCCUCUAUGGAUACCCCAAUACCCUCUGUUGAGGCUUCUGUUGAGGCCUCCAUCAGACCCUCUAUAGGACCCUCUUACGAGGCUCUAUCGAGGCCUUAUCAGACCCUCUUCAGUCCCCAUUCAGACCCUCUAUAGAACCCUCUUACGAGGAUUCUAAUGAGGCUCUUAUGAGACUACUAGCUAAGCACCCUAUUACCCAUCUACCCUUCUAACUGAGACAGACCCUACGUAAAGACUAGAAAACUUUUAGCAACGGAUCUCUAGGCUCUU